AAAAAUUCUAUGAUAAGGAGAGUACUUUUUAACGUUUCUUUAAGCGAGCAGGGAAUGGUGAGAGCCUGUAAGAGGGUAAAAAGGAAAAGAACCUUGGAGAAGCCCAUUUGAAAUCUUAUUUAGAGAGUAAAGUGAGACGCUAGCCCCGUUAAGGCAUUAAGUGGACUUUUGUCAAUUAGAGUGGUACCGCGGAAUAUUACCCGUCUCUUUU
RNAcentral lists this non-coding RNA (211 nucleotides) under Clostridium tetanomorphum. RNAcentral describes it as "T-box sequence". It matches the Rfam family "T-box leader". From Rfam's summary of the family: Uncharged tRNA acts as the effector for transcription antitermination of genes in the T-box leader family. T-boxes are found upstream of many aminoacyl-tRNA synthetase genes and some amino acid biosynthetic genes usually in Gram-positive bacteria. The anticodon of a specific tRNA base pairs to a specifier sequence within the T-box motif, and the NCCA acceptor tail of the tRNA base pairs to a conserved bulge in the T-box antiterminator hairpin. The record is from RNAcentral. Lineage: Bacteria; Bacillati; Bacillota; Clostridia; Eubacteriales; Clostridiaceae.